This 258-nucleotide long non-coding RNA is filed under the name Mustela putorius furo (domestic ferret). RNAcentral's name for it is "lncRNA (ENSMPUG00000029959.1)". The record is from RNAcentral. Lineage: Eukaryota; Metazoa; Chordata; Mammalia; Carnivora; Mustelidae.
CCAAAGCCCAGCUGCCUGGAUGCCUUCUGACGGUGUGAAUGGCACAGUCCUACGCUCCACAUCUGUGAAACGGGGUGCGGAUGACACCUGCCACAUGGCGGGUCGGAAGGAUUAACUGAAUGCAUACAGGCUGUUCAGCUGUAGCACCAAGAACUUCUCGACCCGGCCGGCCCUGCAGCCACAGUCCCAGGGGGCAAAGUAACAAGAUCGAGGAGGUGGGCCACACCUCCAGCCCUAGCAAGCCCCUCGAAGAUGAAG